RNAcentral lists this long non-coding RNA (1058 nucleotides) under Felis catus (domestic cat). RNAcentral describes it as "lncRNA (ENSFCAG00000040217.2)". The record is from RNAcentral. Lineage: Eukaryota; Metazoa; Chordata; Mammalia; Carnivora; Felidae.
CGCUGACUUUGCCAGGGCACGCGGGAAGGCUUUCCCUCUUGUCCCUCUACAGCUUUCUACGGCUGUCUUCCAAGUGCACGUGAUCGUACCGACUCUCUGGUCACGGCAAGCUCUGAAUAAAUAGUUUCUGUCCGCUCUUAUUUGGGUUUGGUCUCUUUAUUUCCACAGCAGAAAUGAAAGCAAAGGGGUCCCUGGAAGUCACACCAAGUUCAAAGUCGAUGAGAAGAACUCAGUCCUUAUUUAGGCAAUGGUUUUGAGAGAAAGGUUGAAGUCAUUGCAAGAUCAUGAGGAAGUGAAAGACCUUACCACUCUUUCUGCGUGUGAAGUUCCCCAGCAGGCAUGUUUUCAGACUCAGAACUCUCUCCCAAGAUGCACAGAUGCAGAAGGUCCGUGGACACAGGCACCUGCAUUUUCACGAUGUAGCCUAGGCCAUUCCCAUGCAAGUGGUUUGCAGACACUGGGAGAAACAAGUCUCUACACCAACAUACCGCCUCUGCAGUCACAUGGCCUGAAAUGUCCAGUCUCCAGACAGCAGUUGAGAAUUAUUAUCUGCGAGUAAAAUUUUCCUUUCCCAACCUUAUUGAAUCACUGGCAAAUAGCCUGCUCUGAGGCCAUUUAAACUCUACCAGAAAAGCUUUCAAUGAUAGUUACAACUUCUGAAGACUGUAACUAAAAUGAUUUUCCUUUGACCAGCAAAUGAUCCUCAGAACCUAAACACUGUUCCCAGGAAGAAGACAAAGCCAGAAAAUUCUCUUUGCAGCGGCCGUGGUGGAAACGAAAGACCAACACCACCAGCACCACAACAAAAAGAAAACAUUUGGGGAUGCUUUGCAGUAAACGGGAAUUUUCUGAGUACGUUUUGGUAAUGAAGGAAAACACCUUACCUUUUCUCUAAUUAACGUUAAUUGUAACGUUACGUUGACAUAGAGACAGAAAUAUCUCAGAGAAAUCAAGAAUACAGGAAAACCUUGGAUGGUGAGGAACCUGUCCUGUGAGUGUUCCUCAAGAUGAGCAAACAUUUCUAAUAAAUUUUAACUUGAUAAACGAGCUGUCUUGCA